CCUACGGUAGGCAGCAGUGGGGAAUAUUGCGCAAUGGGCGAAAGCCUGACGCCGCGACGCCGCGUGAGGGAUGAAGGUCUUCGGAUCGUAAACCUCUUUCAGCAGGGAAGAACGGUCACUGUGCUAAUCAGCAGUGAAUUGACGGUACCUGCCAAGGAAGCACCGGCUAACUCCGUGCCAGCAGCCGCGUUAAUACGGAGGGUGCGAGCGUUAAUCGGCAUUACUGGGCGUAAAGCGCUCGUAGGCGGUAUGUCAAGUCAAGGGUGAAAUCCCCGCGCUCAACGUGGUAACUGCCUUUGAAACUGGGAAACUGGAGUGUGUGAGAGGAUAGUGGAAUUCCAGGUGUAGGAGUGAAAUCCGUAGAUAUCUGGAGGAACAUCAGUGGCGAAGGCGACUAUCUGGCACAUAACUGACGCUGAGGAGCGAAAGCGUGGGUAGCAAACAGGAUUAGAUACCCUAGUAGUC
Molecule: ribosomal RNA, 465 nt
Filed under: uncultured bacterium
Lineage: Bacteria
Description: partial 16S ribosomal RNA
Rfam family: Bacterial small subunit ribosomal RNA
Source: RNAcentral